This 1404-nucleotide long non-coding RNA is filed under the name Panax ginseng (ginseng). Its description in RNAcentral is "long non-coding RNA (PGIN_LNC015581)". Lineage: Eukaryota; Viridiplantae; Streptophyta; Magnoliopsida; Apiales; Araliaceae. The record is from RNAcentral.
CUGCAAAAAUAUCAUGUUCAAUGCAAGUUACUAAACAAUAUAAAAGAGUGGAGUGCUUGUGUUAGUAGAAAUUUGAGACAUUUAAUAAUCUUUUAAUCUGAAUUUUUUAUUUUCACUAAACACUUUAUAAAAUCAAAAUUAAAUUAAAAAUUAACUCCCAAAAAUUCAGUGAGGUCAAUUGACCCCACUGCCCUAAGGUAGAUCUGCCCAUGAGCUCAAAUAUUUUUGAUUCCCUAGCUUUUUCCUCACUGUAGCAAAGUCCAUUGGGUUAUUGAUCACUUCAUGAUAAUCAACUCAAAGUCAAAGUCUCUUUCUCAGGCAACGAAAAACCAAACGAAUGAUCUAAAGGAGUUCCUGAUCAAAGAAACAAAAACCAAAAUUAGCAAACUUAAAUCCUAGAUUGACAAAACAUGUAUAUUCUAAAGCAUAUAAGCAUGACCCGUGAUCCAUACGAAGCUAGAAAAAUAAACUUAGCCUCAUUUCAUCAAACACUUGAGAUGCACUAUGCCACUUAAAAAAUAAACUCCUGAAAAUAGUAAUAUUUCAAAAUUUUAGUGAUUCAAAGCAUUUGUAAUAUUUUCUUUUCAAACUCAAUUUUAUUCUCUUAAUUUAUUUUCUCAAUAAAAUGAUAAAUUUAUAGCAAUCAUCCAGUUACUGAUUCAAUAUAUCUCAUCUCUACUUAGUUGUUCACUCAUUUUGGGAUAGAAAAAUAUUUAAUGCCGCAAAGAUAAAUUAGGAAAAAAAAACCAAGAAUUACAAUAUCAAAAUUGUUACCUCUAUUGACUUACUAAUUUUGAUAAUGAAAAACUCAGUCAUAUUAAGGUUACUUCCGAACUCGAGAGAAAGUAAGUAUUUCACCGGAGCAACAAACGUAAUAGCAGGAAUCUCUCUCUAAUUAUACAAUUACGCGUACCUGCUCAAAUGUUUGUGUUUCGACUGUCGUGAUUGGUUCCUUAUUAUUCUCCACAAUUCCUCUAUCUUGGCCAUUGACGCCGUGUGAAGCAAGAUUCCAGUGGAAUGACUUGUUGUUAGAAAGAGAAAGAGAAGUAAUUCAACCAAACGGGUAUGUUGAGGUUAAAUGAUUAGAUGAUGGGAGUGAAUAAGAGAGGGAUUGGAGAAUCGAGCAUAGGAUUUUUGAGAGAGAAGAAUGUGGGAAUGAAGAGUGGGUGUGAUUGUAAAAGCAGGGUUUGGAUGGUGUGGUGAGGAAUGUGGGGAGCGUCUAGGAGGGAAUGAAAUGGAGAGUAAUGAGGGUGGGAUUUGGUGAACAGGUGAACAGGAGAGAGAACUGAAGGACGGGUAAAGUGUAGGGGAUGAAUUUGAUUUGGGCAAUUUUUUUAUGUGAGAUGAAAAAUAUGCCAUUAGAUUAAGAUGAAAGAGUUUGAACCGUUCUUGUUCUUGUGCUUU